UCCAGCUUAUCACCGGCAGUUUUCUUAGAGUUCCCAGCUUAACCUGAUGGUAACUAAGAAUGAGGGUUGCGCUCGUUGCGGGACUUAACCCAACAUCUCACGACACGAGCUGACGACAACCAUGCAACACCUGUGCAGGAUCCAGCCUAACUGAAGGAAUCUGUUUCCAGAUUCCGCGAUCCGCAUGUCAAGAGCUGGUAAGGUUUUUCGCGUAGCUUCGAAUUAAACCGCAUACUCCACCGCUUGUGCGGGCCCCCGUCAAUUCCUUUGAGUUUUAAUCUUGCGACCGUACUCCCCAGGCGGAGUGCUUAAAGCGUUAGCUGUGACACCAACUAAUGCUGAUAUCUAGCACUCAUCGUUUACGGCGUGGACUAC
This 375-nucleotide unclassified non-coding RNA is filed under the name uncultured Rickettsiaceae bacterium. Its description in RNAcentral is "contains 16S-23S intergenic spacer region". The record is from RNAcentral. Lineage: Bacteria; Pseudomonadati; Pseudomonadota; Alphaproteobacteria; Rickettsiales; Rickettsiaceae.